ACAAAAUUAUUUGUGAAAUAUGAAAUUCUUAAAGGUGGAAUUAGACCUUUUUGGUAGAUAGCUACACAUGGAAAAUGUUUUGUCACUUAACCACUAUCCAAAGCUUAAUGUCAAUUAAACCUUUAAUUUCCUUAAGCCAGUAAGCUUUUAUUUUUAUGUUGCAUUUUUUCUGUAAUCUUUCUAAUGACGAAAUUGAAUUCCAAAGAAAAUGAGAGUUAUAAAAUGAAACAAUGCAGGACUAAAUGAAAAACACAGGUUCAAAAUAAAGGCUAGAGACCAAGUAAAAUAAUCCUUUGGGUGCCUUGUAGCCACUUUGCUGCCUUGGGGCUUUGUUUCUACCUCUUUUUAUUCCUCACAAGUUGAAUUUGUUUAUGCAUAAUUCUGAAACCAUAUAGGCUUAAGUUUCACAGUUUUGGAGAUUCAGAGGUAGCUUGAAUAGACUCUUCAAAUAGCCUUCUUCACUGUAGCUUCCAAUGCUGCAAGUUUAUUGGGGAGUUAUUUUAACUACUAGAAAGGGUCUUUUUGGAAAAAAAAACUUUUUGAGGAAUAAUUUACAAACCAUUAAAACUUGCCUAAGUUCUUGCAUAGUUUAACAAAUUGUAGAUAAAAGGAUAUAUUUCUCUAACAAUCACCAUAAUCAAUUUUUGGAACAUUUACGUAAAUCCCCCAAAGUUUCCUAUGCCUGUUUCUAUCAACUACUAUGUGCUGUCCUCACCUCAGAACAAGGCAUCUACUAAUGUGCUUUCUGUUGCUACAGUUUCUCCUUUUCUAGAACUUUCUUUGCUGCCUUUCAUUUGGCAAAAUGAUUUUGGGAUUCAUGCUGGGAACUGUUUAUUAGCAGUUUGUUCUUUUUUAUUGCUGAGUCUAUUCCAUUAGAAGGCAUAUUUAUUUAUUCUUUUUUCCAGUUGAUAGUUGUUUGUCUCUCUUGGUAAUUGUGGAUGAAGCUUCCAAUAACAUUCAUAUAUAAGUGUGUGUGAGAACAUUUACCUUAAUUUCUCUUAGGAAUGCCUGGAAAUGUCAUUGCCGGGCCCUAUGUGCAUGCUUUACUUUUUAAGUGACUGAAAACUAUAUCUUUCCCUGAGUGGUUGUGCCAUUUUGCAUUCUCCCUCAGUUAGUUUGCCUGAUUGGCCAUAACAAAGUAGUACAGAUACAGUGAAUUGAACAACAGAAAUCAAAUCUUCCCCCAGUUCUUGCGGGGACAAGUCUAAGAUCAAGGUGUCAUCAGAGUUCGUUUCUUCUGAGGUCUGUCUUUUUGGCUUGUAGAUGACAAUUGUCUUUCUGUGGUCUCCUAUGGGAAUUCCCAUGUGGUUUCCUAUGGUUUCCUAUGUAUGGGUGUACAUGGGCUUGUGCACAUGCAAUGAUCUUUAGAGAUAAUAUAAUAUAUAAAUUAAAGUUCAAAUUUGAUGCCUGAUUCUUAGUCAGGGCUCAGUCAAUAUAUUUUUUUUCAUACACCUGCUCCUGACUUAAUGAGUAAGGGAUGAGGGAUAAGUUUAGAAGAAAGAUUUGGUCCCUUAAUAAACGUAGUAGGUGCAAAGUUACUGACAUUGCUGAUAAGCAGACCUGGAAUCCUGUAUAUUUCUGUCACUAGAUAACUGAACAGCCUUAGGUGAGUGCACUCACCUUAUGAUCUGCAAGUCUGACUUACUGGUAAUAUACCAUCAGAGGUGAGUUUACCACAAGUGAAUUUAUUUUGUCAAUGCUUGAUACUGUAAGGGAUUUAACAGGCAUUAAUGGAAUCGGAAAUACUUGAGGGCCUCAAUCACUUAUGUUUUGAAGGAAUAAAUCCUUGCUGCAGUGAUUUCUUUCUCCCUUUCUUCUUCCCUUCCCUUCCUUUCUCCUCCCUCCCUACCCCCUGCUUACUUUCUACUUCCCUAUCUCCCUCCCCUUUUCCUUUCUUCACUCCUAAAAUAUCUGAAGUAUUGUCACUCCCUUCCUUUCUACUGUUUUUUACAGUUAAAUAGAGACUCUAUCCGCAUUUCUCUCCAGAUGGAUACCCUGCAAAGCCUGGACCCUGAAGCUUCUGAUUCCAAGUCUAAGAAGAGCUGCAGAGGAUUGUCUGCAGAUAUACUCCAACUUCUUUCCUUCAGAAUAUGCAUUCAAAUGAGACAGGCACAUAUGAGGGAAGCAUCCAGCACAGAACAAGGGUCAUGAUACAUUCACUGGGAUCAUGUUCCAUCAAUGGAGUUGGCAGAAUCAGGUUCCAAGAUUGUGUCCCUCAUUGGUUAUGAGACCUGGAGCAAGUUAUCAAACCUUUCUGAGCCUCUGUUCCUGCACAUAUCAACCAAAAUUAUAAAAUAACCAGGAAUAUUAUAAAUAUUCUGUGAGACAAUAUUGUAUAAAAUGUUUUGUACAAGUCUGGCAUUCAAUUUUCAUUUAAUAAUAUCUAUUAUUACUAUAAUAAUUAUUAUUACUAUUGACUAAUUUUGUUGUUAUCAACUCUUAGUACAUGUAAGAAUUACUUUAGGAUUUUGGUGAACAAUCAGAAUCCUAUAUAUCUUCCCACAAUAUACUUGUUCACAAUACUUGGAUAAUAAAUCUGGAAAUUUCUGUUUUGAAA
Ictidomys tridecemlineatus (thirteen-lined ground squirrel) is the source of this 2557-nucleotide non-coding RNA. The record is from RefSeq and is a predicted model, not a curated record. NCBI's taxonomy places the organism in Eukaryota, Metazoa, Chordata, Mammalia, Rodentia, Sciuridae.